CCUACGGGAGGUAGCAGUAGGGAAUAUUGCUCAAUGGGGGAAACCCUGAAGCAGCAACGCCGCGUGGAGGAUGAAGGUUUUCGGAUUGUAAACUCCUUUUGUUAGAGAAGAUAAUGACGGUAUCUAACGAAUAAUCACCGGCUAACUUCGUGCCAGCAGCCGAGAUAAUACGGAGGGUGCAAGCGUUAUUCGGAAUCACUGGGCGUAAAGAGCGCGUAGGCGGGAUAGCAAGUCAGAUGUGAAAUCCUAUGGCUUAACCAUAGAACUGCAGUUGAAACUGUUAUUCUAGAGUAUGGGAGAGGUAGGUGGAAUUCUUGGUGUAGGGGUAAAAUGCGUAGAGAUCAAGAGGAAUACUCAGUGCGAAGGCGACCUGCAAGAACAUAACUGACGCUGAGGCGCGAAAGCGUGGGGAGCAAACAGGAUUAGAUACCCGGGUAGUC
Molecule: ribosomal RNA, 440 nt
Filed under: uncultured bacterium
Lineage: Bacteria
Description: partial 16S ribosomal RNA
Rfam family: Bacterial small subunit ribosomal RNA
Source: RNAcentral